This is a non-coding RNA of Pelobates cultripes (western spadefoot toad), 168 nucleotides long. The record is from the annotation of a GenBank genome assembly. Lineage: Eukaryota; Metazoa; Chordata; Amphibia; Anura; Pelobatidae.
GCAGAAACAUUCCAGCCAAUCAGCAGCAGACACUCCCUCCCAGACCCUCCCACCUCCUGGACAGCUCACUAAGAAUGCAGCUUCACAAUGAAUGUAAAAUGGAUGCUGUCCAGGAGGUGGGAGGGUCUGGGAGGGAGGGUCUGCUGCUGAUUGGCUGGAAUGUGUCUG